GACAAGAAAAAGCAGCUGGAAGAAAAAUGUGCUCUACCAUCUCUGAUGCUUGUUGACAAAGGAUUCAUCGUCCAAUACACUUUCCCAAUUUCCUUUCCAGCACAUCUCUUGGAUGGUUAUGCAGGUACCUCAUGAUUAGUAAUUGCAGUCGAAAAAAAAAAUGUAAUAAACUCGAUAUUUUCUUCUAACCUAAUUGGAAUUAGUACAAAAUCUUUAAAUGUCA
This 223-nucleotide long non-coding RNA is filed under the name Elaeis guineensis (African oil palm). RNAcentral's name for it is "long non-coding RNA (EGUI_LNC006659)". Lineage: Eukaryota; Viridiplantae; Streptophyta; Magnoliopsida; Arecales; Arecaceae. The record is from RNAcentral.